GAAAUAUCGAAAAUACCGACUCUCAAAAAAGUAUCAUGUGGCGACAUCUCGACGAAAUCAAUUUUACCGACCAUCAAUCCGGUCAACAAGUCAGAACGACAUGUGACAAUCGAGGAUAAAAGUCAAAAGCGUUACGACCGAAUAUUAUAAAUAACUUUAACGAACAUGAAAUUGAUGUGACUCCGUUGUGAUUUCGCGAGGAGAUAAAAAAAGAUGCAAACAUGUGAUUUCACGAGAAGAUAAAAUAAGCGGACAUGUUGCAUAGCUAAUGAAACAAAAUACGUACACCUCAAAAAACAAUGAUGAAAAAAAGAAGAAUAUCCUUAUAUAAUUAUACAAACAGGAAAUUGAGAUUAAAAUCAGAUUUUAAAACUUUAGCAGAAGUAGAUAAAAUAAGAUAAAAUAUGCCCAGGGAAUGCGUGUAAAUAAUAGAAAGAAGAAAAUUGAUAUAUGACAUAUAUGGAAACAAAAGAAAGAUGUUAUCGAAGAAAUUAAUACAGCAAUGAAAAGCUUGAAAGGAGGAACAAAAAAUUUCAAUAGCGAAUACAAGGAUGAUACGUUUAUUAUUAUCCUAAAAUGUUUAGAAUCUGCUUAGGACAGUGUCAUAACAAAUGUGUUACAAUACAUACGUUUAUAAUCAAGGAAUAGAAAACUAAAUUCCUCAUCGAAGCAACGAUUAACAACAAUAAUAAUAUGCCAACACAAGAGUUAAACUAAUGAAGAAUCGAAAGAAAGAGAAAUUUUCAAGACAGCAUUCAACGACAAAAGUUCAAGGAAUG
Apis mellifera (honey bee) is the source of this 779-nucleotide long non-coding RNA. RefSeq lists it as uncharacterized. The record is from RefSeq and is a predicted model, not a curated record. The transcript has 4 exons. NCBI's taxonomy places the organism in Eukaryota, Metazoa, Arthropoda, Insecta, Hymenoptera, Apidae.